This 253-nucleotide ribosomal RNA is filed under the name uncultured bacterium. RNAcentral describes it as "partial 16S ribosomal RNA". It matches the Rfam family "Bacterial small subunit ribosomal RNA", at positions 524 to 776 of the family's 1533-position model. The record is from RNAcentral.
UACGAACUGUGCGAACGUUAUUCGGAAUCACUGGGCUUAAAGGGUGCGUAGGCGGCUGCCUAAGUCAGGUGUGAAAUCUCUCGGCUCAACCGGGAAACUGCGCUUGAUACUGGGCGGCUCGAGUGAGGUAGGGGUGUGUGGAACUUCCGGUGAAGCGGUGAAAUGUGUAGAUAUCGGAAGGAACGCCAGCAGCGAAAGCGGCACACUGGGCCUUUUCUGACGCUGAGGCACGAAAGCCAGGGGAGCGAACGGG